Molecule: ribosomal RNA, 253 nt
Filed under: uncultured bacterium
Lineage: Bacteria
Description: partial 16S ribosomal RNA
Rfam family: Bacterial small subunit ribosomal RNA
Source: RNAcentral
UACAGAGGGGGCAAGCGUUAUUCGGAAUUAUUGGGCGUAAAGGGCGCGUAGGCGGCGAUUCAAGUGACGGGUGAAAUCCCUCGGCUUAACCGAGGAACUGCCUGUCAGAUUGGAUUGCUUGAGUCCGGGAGAGGCGAGUGGAAUUCCCAGUGUAGCGGUGAAAUGCGUAGAUAUUGGGAGGAACACCAGUGGCGAAGGCGGCUCGCUGGACCGGAACUGACGCUGAGGCGCGAAAGCGUGGGGAGCAAACAGG